RNAcentral lists this ribosomal RNA (483 nucleotides) under uncultured bacterium. Its description in RNAcentral is "partial 16S ribosomal RNA". It matches the Rfam family "Bacterial small subunit ribosomal RNA", at positions 28 to 523 of the family's 1533-position model. The record is from RNAcentral.
GACGAACGCUGGCGGCGUGCUUAACACAUUCAAGUCGAACGAUGAAGCCGGAGCUUGCUCCGGUGGAUUAGUGGCGAACGGGUGAGUAACACGUGAGCAAUCUGCCCUUGACUCUGGGAUAACUGCGGGAAACUGUAGCUAAUACCGGAUACGACACCUUGGGGCAUCCCAGGGUGUGGAAAGAAUUUCGGUCAAGGAUGAGCUCGCGGCAUAUCAGCUAGUUGGUGAGGUAAUGGCUCACCAAGGCGACGACGGGUAGCCGGCCUGAGAGGGGGACCGGCCACACUGUAACGGAGACACGGUCAAGACUCCUACGGGAGGCAGCAGUGGGGAAUAUUGCACAAUGGGCGAAAGCCUGAUGCAGCAACGCCGCGUGAGGGAUGAAGGCCUUCGGGUUGUAAACCUCUUUUAGCAGGGAAGAAGCGAAAGUGACGGUACCUGCAGAAAAAGCACCGGCUAACUACGUGCCAGCCGCCGCGGUAA